Molecule: ribosomal RNA, 292 nt
Filed under: uncultured bacterium
Lineage: Bacteria
Description: partial 16S ribosomal RNA
Rfam family: Bacterial small subunit ribosomal RNA
Source: RNAcentral
GUGUCAGCCGCCGCGGUAAGACGUAGGGGGCCAGCGUUGUUCGGAAUUACUGGGUGUAAAGGGUUCGUAGGCGGUGUGGCAAGUUGGGAGUGAAAUCUCUGGGCUCAACCCAGAGGCUGCUUCCAAAACUGCUGUGCUUGAGUGUGAGAGAGGCGCGUUGAAUUGCAGGUGUAGCGGUGAAAUGCGUAGAUAUCUGCAGGAACACCCGUGGCGAAAGCGGCGCGCUGGACCACAACUGACGCUGAGGAACGAAAGCUAGGGGAGCAAACAGGAUUAGAAACCCGUGUAGUCC